Molecule: ribosomal RNA, 445 nt
Filed under: uncultured bacterium
Lineage: Bacteria
Description: bacterial SSU rRNA
Rfam family: Bacterial small subunit ribosomal RNA
Source: RNAcentral
GUAAGGAAUAUUGGACAAUGGACGCAAGUCUGAUCCAGCCAUGCCGCGUGAAGGAUUAAGGUCCUCUGGAUUGUAAACUUCUUUUAUAAGGGACGAAAAAAGGCUUUUCUAAGUCGUCUGACGGUACCUUAUGAAUAAGCACCGGCUAACUCCGUGCCAGCAGCCGCGGUAAUACGGAGGGUGCAAGCGUUAUCCGGAUUCACUGGGUUUAAAGGGUGCGUAGGCGGGCAGGUAAGUCAGUGGUGAAAUACUAGAGCUUAACUCUAGAACUGCCAUUGAUACUAUAUGUCUUGAAUAUUGUGGAGGUAAGCGGAAUAUGUCAUGUAGCGGUGAAAUGCUUAGAUAUGACAUAGAACACCUAUUGCGAAGGCAGCUUACUACGCAUAUAUUGACGCUGAGGCACGAAAGCGUGGGGAUCAAACAGGAUUAGAAACCCGAGUAGUCC